GCCUGUAAAAGAAGGGUGGAUGUUUUGUUUUGCUUUGUUUUGUCUGCAAGGACAGAAGAAUGACAGAGACUAAAGAGCUGUAGCUUCACAGCAGUGUGAACUGCAGACUGAACCCUUUGGUUGCUAAUGUUGAGCUACUGAUGUUUGCAUUAAGGAAAUUGUGUUUUAUUAGCUGUGUUUUAAUUAAGGUAUUACAUUAUAUUGUUGGGAAUAUUAAAUGCUAAAGUGAAGAAAAGGUUUGAUCCCACUCAUGACUGAGCAUGUUAUUAUUAACCAUAGUGGGUCACUAUAGAGAGUCAAUUAAUUUUAGAAAAAAAAACAAACAAACAAACAAAAAACCCUCCACCGAGGCCUAUGAAUAAGAGGGGAAUGAUAGACAGCCACACUCAAAAUGGAGAUAUGUAAUGAUAAACACUGGUCCCCGUCUUUUGGGCGCUCUCUUGAAGUAGUCAACAAUUUAAAAGUAAGACAAAAUAACAGGGGCAUGUGCUGAGGGGUGGUGCUGCACAAGAACAAGAGUAAAAUAAAGAAAAUAUUGUUUUUAGAAGUGCAAAUUAAAAUGUACCAUUACACUCAGAGGAUCAAUAUGAAGCUUAAUAUUUGUUAAUUUUGAAUGAAGUACAUGACUGGUGACUGUUCUGUCCUGAGCUUUUGUUUUUACAGCACCCGCUUGAUCACACCAACAGUUUCUCGCCACCGAAGAGGGGUACUUGAAAAAAUAAAGAACGGGGAGGAAUAUCAUCAAAACUGGAAACAGGUAAUCCCCAAAGGGGGUGAUAAUGCCAUAACUUUCACUAUGGUCAAAUUCUCAAAAUUUGACCCUCAAAAAUUCUUCUAACAUUUAGACACAAAGUGGAGAUUUAGAUAAAUAUAAUGUCGUAAACCACAUAAGCAUGAAGUAGUUGAUUCAAUAAGAUGGUGAAGUAACAAGCAGCAAAAGGUUGAUCAUGUUAAUGGUGUUUAUUCAAGGGUGCAGAGGAGAUUAUUAUUAUUAAAGACAACAAAUGAAAUAACGAAAAGUAGAACUGGAAAGAAUUUGCGUUAACGGUAAUAAAAUCAAAACAAAAAGGAAUACUAACUAAAACUGUACUGAAUGUUCACAAAACUAACUAAAAUUAACUAGAUUUAUAGCAAAAUGUGUUUGGUUGCAUUGAUGUGUGCGUGCCCUGCUAUAGUGAAAUUAAGGUAGUACGUUAGUCGAGUCGUCUGGGUUGCUGCUCCGUUCACCCGCAGAAUCUGGUCAGGAAAAGUCGGGAGACAGCGCCAGAAUAGAAUUGAGGAUGAUUUUAAUAUGAUUGUUUUGUAGACAUAACAAGAGUCUUGUAGUGGAGAGGGACGUAAUGUCCUCCUGAGACCCAGAGAAUAAGAAAAAACAGGGAGAAAUUAUUUUCGUUUUUUCUUUUUUCUUUUUUUCUUUUUUCUUUUAAAUGAAUCAAGUGUUAUUAAAAUAACAAUCUCAUAAGAUGAAGAUCAGGGGCCAACCCAGAAGUCACUGACACUUCACUAACUGUAAACUAUUGGUUUAGGAAUAAGUGAUGGCACUGACCUUUCUAUUUCACAAAAGUUAAUUUAUUUAGGAUAUCUGAGUAAGUACUGAUUUUAUUUGGAGACACAAAGGAACAUUUGGCACUUCCCUCAUCUCACAUCUGUUUCAUUGUUGUACCCAAUCAUUCUACAACUGAAAUACCUUGGACUGCUAACCAUUUCAGGCAAGUGGAGUGAACCAUAUUUUGCUAGAUUCUCAUCAGAUUGGGGCUUCCUUUUAUUGAUCUUUGGAGAGAAGUCUUCAUUACUGGUAUUAUUCAGGUCUUGUUCACAUGUUUGUCCCAGGUUUCUCAGCCAAGAGGAGCUUAAACCCCAGAUACUGUGAGUUCUUUUCACACGUUGAGAUCACUGAUAACUCUCAGCAACGACGUGAUCUCGUAGGAACAAUUAGGUGUUAUGGAUUCAACUAUAAUUGCGACUCUUAUUUUUUACUUUACUGGAAAACAUUUCUGCAUUUUACCCAUAUUUUAUUUUUAACUCAAAAUCAAAAUUCCAGAUUCUACUACAUGUUGGUUUUGCACCAGAUAGGACGACAGAUUUCAGGUGGCCCUGUGUCUUUCUCUAUUACAUCUGCCACUGCAUCUCGAUAAUCUUUGUGUGGCUUUUAGUGGGUCCUGACCCUCUCAUAUUUUGAAAAAUCUAUGUUUGAAUCUCCCUUAAUAAUUGUGUUAAGAAUUCUCUCCGCCUUUGUCAAAAGUUGGGUAUUAGGAAAAAGUGAAAUAAAUAUAAAUAUAAAGUCCCAAUGUGUAGAGCACACAUUAAUAA
Molecule: long non-coding RNA, 2310 nt
Organism: Astatotilapia calliptera (eastern happy)
Lineage: Eukaryota; Metazoa; Chordata; Actinopteri; Cichliformes; Cichlidae
Source: Ensembl